RNAcentral lists this ribosomal RNA (253 nucleotides) under uncultured bacterium. Its description in RNAcentral is "partial 16S ribosomal RNA". It matches the Rfam family "Bacterial small subunit ribosomal RNA", at positions 524 to 776 of the family's 1533-position model. The record is from RNAcentral.
UACAGAGGGUGCGAGCGUUAAUCGGAAUUACUGGGCGUAAAGCGUGCGUAGACGGUUAUUUAAGUCGGGUGUGAAAUCCCCAGGCUCAACCUGGGAACUGCGUCCGAUACUGGAUGGCUUGAAUCCGGGAGAGGGAUGCAGAAUUCCAGGUGUAGCGGUGAAAUGCGUAGAUAUCUGGAGGAAUACCGGUGGCGAAGGCGGCAUCCUGGACCGGCAUUGACGCUGAGGAGCGAAAGCCAGGGGAGCAAACGGG